GAGCCUCUUGAAGUAAUCCUUGAAAGCAAAGUUAAGAGCCUGAGUCGGGAAAUAACGAAUGACAUUUGCAGUGUUGCCCCUCCACAAGGCCAUGACGCCUUCAUCCUUUAUUGUGCGAGAGAAGCAGUCCCCAAUUCCCUUGUAGGGCUCAGAAAGACGACCAGACUUGAUCAUCUCAUCCUGAUUCUGGAUCAGUAGCUUCACA
This 205-nucleotide unclassified non-coding RNA is filed under the name Hevea brasiliensis (rubber tree). The record is from RNAcentral. Lineage: Eukaryota; Viridiplantae; Streptophyta; Magnoliopsida; Malpighiales; Euphorbiaceae.